RNAcentral lists this ribosomal RNA (371 nucleotides) under uncultured organism. RNAcentral's name for it is "bacterial SSU rRNA". It matches the Rfam family "Bacterial small subunit ribosomal RNA", at positions 526 to 896 of the family's 1533-position model. The record is from RNAcentral.
CAGAGGGUGCGAGCGUUAAUCGGAAUUACUGGGCGUAAAGCGCGCGUAGGCGGCUUUUCAAGCCGAUUGUGAAAUCCCCGGGCUUAACCUGGGAACUGCAGUCGGGACUGUCUGGCUAGAGUAUGGGAGAGGGAAGUGGAAUUUCAGGUGUAGCGGUGAAAUGCGUAGAUAUCUGAAGGAACAUCAGUGGCGAAAGCGACUUCCUGGACCAAUACUGACGCUCAUGUGCGAAAGCGUGGGGAGCAAACAGGAUUAGAUACCCUGGUAGUCCACGCCAUAAACGAUGAGAACUGGAUGUCGGGAGGGUCUGCCUCUCGGUGUCGUAGCUAACGCGUUAAGUUCUCCGCCUGGGGAGUACGGCCGCAAGGUUG